UCGGGAUAGCUCAGCUGGUAGAGCAGAGACUGAAAUUCCCCUUUUCACCAAUUCA
RNAcentral lists this transfer RNA (55 nucleotides) under Hamamelis mollis (Chinese witch hazel). Its description in RNAcentral is "partial tRNA-Phe". The record is from RNAcentral. Lineage: Eukaryota; Viridiplantae; Streptophyta; Magnoliopsida; Saxifragales; Hamamelidaceae.